Molecule: long non-coding RNA, 3836 nt
Filed under: Pan troglodytes (chimpanzee)
Lineage: Eukaryota; Metazoa; Chordata; Mammalia; Primates; Hominidae
Description: lincRNA
Source: RNAcentral
AAGUCAGGGCCGCGGCGCUUCUGGUCCCGGAGACUUGGGGCUCCCGGGCUUCUGAGCGGCUCGGGUUCCGCGCUGCCGGCAGGGCUUGGGGGCGCCUUAGAGCCGGACCCCGUUUUUUCAGGAAAGGGCGCUGCGACCACCCCCGUCCCGGGCCUCAGCCCCUCUGCUGCAGACCCUCGGGAUCGUCGCUGGUAGGAGCUCUGUCCCCCGUGUCUGUGUCCAGGACUCCCGAAGCGCCGCGCCUAGGAACCCCCUAGCGCUGGGAGCCCGGCCCUGCUCGACCACGGGCUUUGGGCUGGAGGCGUCAUCGUCGCCACAGCGAACGCUUAUUUGGCACCGAGUGUCCGCCAGGCAUCGCUCUAAGCGCUUUAUACCCAUAACUCAUUUCAUCUCAGCCACCCGGUUCAGUAGAAGCGUUUCAUCCGCGUUUUACAGACGUGUGCAGGAAAGAUUCUGAAGCUCGGCGGAGAGGGGUGUGUGAGUGGACACCAGUGAAGUAACGGUUUUUGUGUUAACGAUGAUUUCUGUUUUCCUCUGCUGCCCUGUAAUGGCAGGAACUCGGAUAGUCUGGUCUUCAGACCAGGAGGACUCCCAGGAGAGAACGGAGAGCCAGCGUGCUGUGUGUCACGGUCCCUGGAUGAACGUUUGUGGAACUGGAUUGAAUUAAACAAGACGUGCAAAGCAAGUGGUUCACGAGAUUUGAUUGCUGUAGGGACCCCGUGGGUGUGGAAUCAGACGGUAUUGGUCCUUUCAUGACUGGCUUAUUUCACAGAACCCGAUGCCGUCGAGGUCCAUCCAUGCUGAGAUAUUUAUGGAGCAUCCCCAGCUGCUGGAUGCUGGGACCCACCAGUGGGCAAGAGGGCCGUGCCCACCCCUUCCUGGAAGAGACACUCACUCAGUAAAUGCAGAGAUUCAGUGUUGGGGUAACCCCCGCACACAGCCCUGAGGGAGGAAGCCCGGUGAUUUGAUCGGAUUUGCUUUUCUCUUCCGCCUCGGAUUCCAUCCAAGCCCUGGAAGGACCUCUGACCUGCUCCGUGGCUGGUUCUAGGCCCCACUCAAGCCUCCUCCUCCAGGAAGCCUUCCCAGUCCUGGGCAUCUGUAGCCACCUCGGUGUUUCUCACCUGGGGCCUGGGACGUCUCCCAUUCUGAACUGCCGUGUUUUGGGUUUACUGUUCUCUGGCUUUUGGUCCCAGCCGGACGGUGGCCUCUUGUGUUCAGGGACAAGGCGAGGAGCAUCCAUGCACCCCCACAGUACCCAGGCUGGGUCUGUGCCCGCCAGGCCCCCGGCAAAGCUUGGAUGAUCCGGGCUGGGCUGUUCUGCUGCUGCUCUCCUGCUGCUGGCCUCGCUGUAUCAGCUGGUGGCCAUCGCACCUCCUGCACCCGUCAUCCCGCCCUGCACGCCCCCACCACGCGGAUGAGCUCCCUGGGGAGUUAAUGGCUAAUGGAGUCUCCUCUCUUGUCAAAUGCAGCCAUCAUCCGCUGGUGCUUUAAGGGACCCUCUCCUGUCCCCACCCUAUUCUCAGGUGGCUCCUACCGACACCACCUAAUGGUGAACCCCAACACGAGGACACAGGCAGUGCCCUCCCAGGACCACUGUGGGUGCCACCGGGCACGACUUCCUAAACACCCACAGAGCAAAAACCUGGAAAUUCAGCCGAGGCACUGGGACCCCAACCUCUCCCAGAGCGGCCCCAGCUCCACGGCGUCUGCAUGGCUCUGGCCGUGAGCAGAGCAGCCCCGACCACCAUCCUGACCCAGGGGCCGGAGCGCCACUGCGGAUCUCACCACCACACAAGCCAGACCUGCUAGGAAGCCCUUCCCGGCCACCAGCUCUCGGGCCGAUGCACACAACAGGGCCUUUUGAAUUCCCUGAGGUUAAGGUUCCCCUUGAGUCUCCUGGGCUACAAGCAAAUCCCCCGAGGGGAGGAGUCCAGGCUGACACAGCCUCCUGCACCCCUGCCUUGGGAGGCCACACCUCGUUUGCCUCUAGAACCGACGACUGGGGAGCACCGUUUGCAGAGUUCUCUCUCUCUGGAACGGUGAAGGAAUCUGAAGCCCAGAGAGGGAAAGCAAUGCCUCCUGGGUCACACAGCCCAUCAGGGGCAGGGCAGGGACGAACGGCGAGAAAAGGACCAGCGCGAGAGGAGAUCCCCAGCAGUGAUUCCUCAGCCAAGCCCAGCGUCUACCCACAUCCACACCUCACAGCCACCCGACGGGGAGGGCACCACUGCCCCUUUUCAAAGGUGAGAAAACGGAGGCUCAGAGAGGUUCAGCAACUUCUCCCACAGCUACUUCGUUGUAGAACUGCAGUUCCAGGUGUCCCCGAGCUCUCCCCUCCUGAGCCAUCUGCUCCUGCCCUCCUAUCCGAGCCCCGGCCCUCCCAGUCAAAGGCGGGUAGUGGCUGUUCAGAAGCCUUGGGGCUAGUCAAUCCCAGCUGUUUCGGACCAGGGCCCCCCCAGGAGGAGACCCUGAAGGAUGCAGUUGAGAAUAUGUGCUUUCUUUGGUAGGUGAUCUCAGGAAUUGCAGGAAAAGAGGGGGAGCGUGUUAGUGUGGGCUCUCCGGAGAAGCAGAACCAACGCACAGAGGAGAUUUAGGAUGAGGAAUCUGGUUUAUGUGACUCUGGGGGCUGAGAAGUCCCACCAUCUGUGUUGCAAGCUGGAAACCCAGGGAAGCCUGAGGUGUGAUUCAAACUCAGCUCAGGUCCGGAGGCCUGAGAACCAGGGCAGCCGAUGGUGGACAUCCAGUCCAGGAGCAAGAGAUGAUGAGAUGUCCCGGCUCCAGUGGCGAGGCAGGAAAUGAGGGGUGAACUCCUCCUCCCUCUGCUGUCUGUUCUAUUCAAGUUCUUGAGGGAUUGGAUUAUGCCCAGCCACUUAGGGAGGGCAGUCCACCUUCCUGAGUCCACAAUUCAAAUGCUGAUUUAAUCCAGAAACACUCUCACAGACACAGUGUGUAGUCUGGGCACCCCACAGUGCACUUAAGUGGACACAUAAAAUUAACCAUCCCAGGGAGUGAGAUGGGUAAGGGAAGAUGGGCCACAGUGGGUGUGUCUCCAUGCCUACCACCACUGUGGGCAGCUGCUGGAGCACACGCCUCAAAGUCUUCCCUUAGGGAGAGGGAGCUGAGGUGUUUAUAUCCCAGCUCUGUCAGGCAUUGGCUGAAUGUCCACACUCCUGGAUCACCGCCUCUCAUCCUCAUGAUGUCCCCUGGUCCUCAUUUCACAAGUGAGCUCUGGGUACAUGGGGAGCAUCAGUCACACCCUGGGUCAGCACCUCAGCUGUCUCUCACAUGACAUCCUCAUUAUCCACACUGCAAAGCCAACCAUGCCUACGAUGGGUUCAUUGUGGAUCAUGACUUAGUGGGUCAAGAGUUUGGAAGUGGCUCAGCUGGGCGGUUCUUCUGCUCCAUGUGGCUGCCAGAUGGUACCCUGCUGGUGGGCAGUCUGGUCUAGAGGGUCCAUGAUGGCUUUACUCACAUGCCUGGCAUCUUGACAGGGACAGCUGGAAGGCAAGGUUCAGCUGGGACUGUCCACAGAGCUCCUCCCUGUGGCCUUUCCAGCAUGGUGGUCUCAGGGUAGCUGGACUUCUUGCAUGACAGCUCAGGGCUCGCAGAGCUACUGUCCCAAGAGACAGAAGGUGGAAACUGCCAGUCUCUUAGGCUAGGACCAGAAACCAGCACCCCUGCACCCACAGCCUUUUUUGGUAGUGAUGAAAUAAACAUAACAUUUAUCAUUUUAAUCAUUCGUAAGUGGGAUUAAAUACAUUUACAAUAUUGUGUAACCAUCGGCACUGUCUAUAUCUAAAACUUUUCCAUCAUCUGCAAUAAAAACUCUGUAUGCA